RNAcentral lists this ribosomal RNA (1254 nucleotides) under Leuconostoc mesenteroides. Its description in RNAcentral is "bacterial SSU rRNA". It matches the Rfam family "Bacterial small subunit ribosomal RNA", at positions 45 to 1277 of the family's 1533-position model. The record is from RNAcentral. Lineage: Bacteria; Bacillati; Bacillota; Bacilli; Lactobacillales; Lactobacillaceae.
GGCCUAAUAAUGCAAGUCGACGCACAGCGAAAGGUGCUUGCACCUUUCAAGUGAGUGGCGAACGGGUGAGUAACACGUGGACAACCUGCCUCAAGGCUGGGGAUAACAUUUGGAAACAGAUGCUAAUACCGAAUAAAACUUAGUGUCGCAUGACACAAAGUUAAAAGGCGCUUCGGCGUCACCUAGAGAUGGAUCCGCGGUGCAUUAGUUAGUUGGUGGGGUAAAGGCCUACCAAGACAAUGAUGCAUAGCCGAGUUGAGAGACUGAUCGGCCACAUUGGGACUGAGACACGGCCCAAACUCCUACGGGAGGCUGCAGUAGGGAAUCUUCCACAAUGGGCGAAAGCCUGAUGGAGCAACGCCGCGUGUGUGAUGAAGGCUUUCGGGUCGUAAAGCACUGUUGUAUGGGAAGAACAGCUAGAAUAGGAAAUGAUUUUAGUUUGACGGUACCAUACCAGAAAGGGACGGCUAAAUACGUGCCAGCAGCCGCGGUAAUACGUAUGUCCCGAGCGUUAUCCGGAUUUAUUGGGCGUAAAGCGAGCGCAGACGGUUUAUUAAGUCUGAUGUGAAAGCCCGGAGCUCAACUCCGGAAUGGCAUUGGAAACUGGUUAACUUGAGUGCAGUAGAGGUAAGUGGAACUCCAUGUGUAGCGGUGGAAUGCGUAGAUAUAUGGAAGAACACCAGUGGCGAAGGCGGCUUACUGGACUGCAACUGACGUUGAGGCUCGAAAGUGUGGGUAGCAAACAGGAUUAGAUACCCUGGUAGUCCACACCGUAAACGAUGAACACUAGGUGUUAGGAGGUUUCCGCCUCUUAGUGCCGAAGCUAACGCAUUAAGUGUUCCGCCUGGGGAGUACGACCGCAAGGUUGAAACUCAAAGGAAUUGACGGGGACCCGCACAAGCGGUGGAGCAUGUGGUUUAAUUCGAAGCAACGCGAAGAACCUUACCAGGUCUUGACAUCCUUUGAAGCUUUUAGAGAUAGAAGUGUUCUCUUCGGAGACAAAGUGACAGGUGGUGCAUGGUCGUCGUCAGCUCGUGUCGUGAGAUGUUGGGUUAAGUCCCGCAACGAACCCCAACCCUUAUUGUUAGUUGCCAGCAUUCAGAUGGGCACUCUAGCGAAACUGCCGGUGACAAACCGGAGGAAGGCGGGGACGACGUCAAAUCAUCAUGCCCCUUAUGACCUGGGCUACCACCGGGCUAAAAUGGGCGUAAUAACACAAAUUGCCAACCCCCCGAGAGGGGAAGCUAAUCCCUU